CUGUUCAAAAGUGAAUUGUUAUAUACAGUGUGGCAGCUGACCUUUGACCUGUGAGCUUCAGCCUCUUUGCUGAGUGUUUAAUGCUCAUCUAUUGAAGCCUGCAGACACACCCACACACCAUCUGAUUCGUUCUCAGGGUUGUUUUCUGUGUGUUGGAGUUGGAGCAGAAACCUGCUGCAGGUUAAUUAUUGAUCAAAUUAAUAUCACAAAAGGUGCAGCAGCUGACCUUUGACCUGUGAGCUUCAGAGUCUUUGCUGGUGUGAAGUGUUUAAUGUGACGCAGUCUGCAGACACAGACGACUGCUGACGGAGAAGAAGCAGAGGAUUUUAUCUGUUUCUACACAGACCUGGUCCAGACAGCAGAGAGCUGCAGAGUGAAGACGUUCAUUGGAAGAAGAAGCUGAACUGACUGAAGAUGAUGAUGGAGGAAGAGGAGGACAGAGCAGAGUCUGCAGGGUCCAGCUGUCCGUCUGUGAGGAGUGACGGGUCCAAAGGUCAUAAUCCAAACUUCAGUGGUGAACCUGGAGCAACGAGAGGUCAGAGGUCACAGUCUGCAGGGUCCAGCUGUCC
This is a non-coding RNA of Maylandia zebra (zebra mbuna), 569 nucleotides long. The record is from RefSeq and is a predicted model, not a curated record. Lineage: Eukaryota; Metazoa; Chordata; Actinopteri; Cichliformes; Cichlidae.